GCACGAUGAACACCGAAAUUUUGAAAUACAAUGAUACAAUAGCAAACUAUAGACAGAAUUGUAGGAAAACGAAGAGGAAGAAGAGUGUGGCAGAAAAAAGAGAAAACUAACGUCAGACUUUUAGGAAGAGAGAAAAAAUAAAAUAAAAUAAAAUAAAAUAGGAUUUAAGCAAAAUCCCAUUACAUCCACUAACAACCCAACCAACUCAAAAUUUCACUACCAUCGAACUACUAUCAACAACCGACACCAAAAAAAUAACACCCACAC
This 267-nucleotide long non-coding RNA is filed under the name Gossypium raimondii (Peruvian cotton). RNAcentral's name for it is "long non-coding RNA (GRAI_LNC003616)". Lineage: Eukaryota; Viridiplantae; Streptophyta; Magnoliopsida; Malvales; Malvaceae. The record is from RNAcentral.